AACGAACGCUGGCGGCAGGCUUAACACAUGCAAGUCGAGCGCCUUGGCAACAAGGAGCGGCAGACGGGUGAGUAACGCGUGGGAAUCUACCCAUCUCUACGGAAUAACUCAGGGAAACUUGUGCUAAUACCGUAUACGCCCUUAGGGGGAAAGAUUUAUCGGAGAUGGAUGAGCCCGCGUUGGAUUAGCUAGUUGGUGGGUAAAGGCCUACCAAGGCGACGAUCCAUAGCUGGUCUGAGAGGAUGAUCGCCACACUGGGACUGAGACACGGCCCAGACUCCUACGGAGGCAGCAGUGGGAAUUUGGACAAUGGGGAAACCCUGAUCCAGCCAUGCCGCGUGAGUGAAGAAGGCC
This 354-nucleotide ribosomal RNA is filed under the name uncultured bacterium. RNAcentral describes it as "bacterial SSU rRNA". It matches the Rfam family "Bacterial small subunit ribosomal RNA", at positions 29 to 416 of the family's 1533-position model. The record is from RNAcentral.